GCGCGCUUAACACAUGCAAGUCGAACGAGGUUAUUGUUUUCGGAUGAUAACUUAGUGGCGCACGGGUGAGUAACGCGUGGGAAUCUGCCCUUUGCUACGGAACAACCACGGGAAACUGUGGCUAAUACCGUAUAAUGCAAUAUCGCAAGAUGUUGCCAAAGAUUUAUCGGCGAAGGAGGAGCCCGCGUUAGAUUAGCUUGUUGGUGGGGUAACGGCCUACCAAGGCUUUGAUCUAUAGCUGGUCUGAGAGGACGAUCAGCCACACUGGGACUGAGACACGGCCCAGACUCCUACGGGAGGCAGCAGUGGGGAAUCUUGGACAAUGGGGGAAACCCUGAUCCAGCGACGCCGCGUGGGUGAAGAAGGCCUUAGGGUUGUAAACCCCUUUCACCGGGGAGGAUGAUGACGUUACCCGGAGAAGAAGCACCGGCUAACUCCGUGCCAGCAGCCGCGGUAAGACGGAGGGUGCUAGCGUUGUUCGGAAUCACUGGGCGUAAAGGGCGCGUAGGCGGCUUGGUCAGUCAGAUGUGAAAGCCCAGGGCUCAACUCUGGAACUGCAUUUGAUACUUCCAAGCUAGAGGUCGAAAGAGGAGAGUGGAAUACCCAGUUAGAGGUGAAAUUCGUAGAUAUUGGGUGGAACACCAGUGGCGAAAGCGGCUCUCUGGUUCGAAUCUGACGCUGAGGCGCGAAAGCGUGGGGAGCAAACAGGAUUAAAUACCCUGGUAGUCCACGCCCUAAACGAUGUGUGCUAGGCGUUGGGGGGCUUGCCCUUCAGUGCCGGAGCUAACGUGUUAAGCACACCGCCUGGGGAGUACGGUCGCAAGAUUAAAACUCAAAGGAAUUGACGGGGGCCCGCACAAGCGGUGGAGCAUGUGGUUUAAUUCGACGCAACGCGCAGAACCUUACCAGCCCUUGACAUGGUGGUUACGAUUUCCAGAGAUGGAUCUCUCAGUUCGGCUGGACCAUCACAGGUGCUGCAUGGCUGUCGUCAGCUCGUGUCGUGAGAUGUUGGGUUAAGUCCCGCAACGAGCGCAACCCUUGCCUUCAGUUGCCAUCGGGUAGGGCCGGGCACUCUGAAGGAACUGCCGGUGACAAGCCGGAGGAAGGUGGGGAUGACGUCAAGUCCUCAUGGCCCUUAUGGGCUGGGCUACACACGUGCUACAAUGGCGGUGACAAUGGGCAGCGAAAGCGCGAGCUGGAGCUAAUCCCCAAAAACCGUCUCAGUUCGGAUUGUACGCUCCAACUCGCGUGCAUGAAGGUGGAAUCGCUAGUAAUCGUGGAUCAGCACGCCACGGUGAAUACGUUCCCGGGCCUUGUACACACCGCCCGUCACACCAUGGGAGUUGGUUUUACCCGAAACCGGUGGGCUAACCGCAAGGAGGCAGCCGUUCACGGUAAGGUCAGCGACUGGGGUGAAGUCGUAACAAGGUA
Molecule: ribosomal RNA, 1431 nt
Filed under: metagenome
Description: bacterial SSU rRNA
Rfam family: Bacterial small subunit ribosomal RNA
Source: RNAcentral